Molecule: ribosomal RNA, 460 nt
Filed under: uncultured bacterium
Lineage: Bacteria
Description: partial 16S ribosomal RNA
Rfam family: Bacterial small subunit ribosomal RNA
Source: RNAcentral
CCUACGGGUGGCUGCAGUGAGGAAUAUUGGUCAAUGGACGAGAGUCUUACCCAGCCAAGUAGCGUGAAGGAUGACUGCCCUAUGGGUUGUAAACUUCUUUUAUAUGGGAAUAAAACGUUCCACGUGUGGGGUUUUGUAUGUACCAUAUGAAUAAGGAUCGGCUAACUCCGUGCCAGCAGCCGCGGUAAUACGGAGGAUCCGAGCGUUAUCAGGAUUUAUUGGGUUAAAAGGGAGCGUAGGUGGAUUGUUAAGUCAGUUGUGAAAGUUUGUGGCUCAACCGUAAAAUUGCAGUUGAAACUGGCAGUCUUGAGUACAGUAGAGGUGGGCGGAAUUCGUGGUGUAGCGGUGAAAUGCUUAGAUAUCACGAAGAACUCCGAUUGCGAAGGCAGUUCACUGGACUGCAACUGACACUGAGGCUCGAAAGUGUGGGUAUCAAACAGGAUUAGAUACCCGUGUAGUC